CCCGCAAGUCCCAGUUACCUGGGAAGCUGAGGGGGAGGAUUGCUUGAGUCCAGGAGUCCUGGGCUGUAUUGCCCUGUGCCGGUCUGGUGUCUGCAUUAAGUUUGGCAUCAGUAUUGUGAACUUCUGGGGGUAGAGGGCUAUCAGGUUGCCUAAGGAGGGGUGAAUCAGUCUAGAUCCAAAAUUGAACAAGUCAAAAAUUCCUGUGCUUAUCAUAAUGGUAUCACACCUGUGAAUAGCCACUGCACAGCCUAGGCAUCAUAGUAUCUCUU
Otolemur garnettii (small-eared galago) is the source of this 269-nucleotide non-coding RNA. Lineage: Eukaryota; Metazoa; Chordata; Mammalia; Primates; Galagidae. The record is from Rfam.